UGGCUCCUACGGGAGGCAGCAGUAGGGAAUCUUCGGCAAUGGGCGAAAGCCUGACCGAGCAACGCCGCGUGAAUGAAGAAGGCCUUCGGGUUGUAAAAUUCUGUUAUAAGGGAAGAAAGGUGAUAGGAGGAAAUGACUAUCAAUUGACGGUACCUGCAAAGGAAGCACCGGCUAACUCCGUGCCAGCAGCCGCGGUAAUACGGAGGGUGCGAGCGUUAAUCGGAAUUACUGGGCGUAAAGCGCUCGUAGGCGGUAUGUCAAGUCAAGGGUGAAAUCCCCGCGCUCAACGUGGGAACUGCCUUUGA
RNAcentral lists this ribosomal RNA (305 nucleotides) under uncultured bacterium. RNAcentral's name for it is "bacterial SSU rRNA". It matches the Rfam family "Bacterial small subunit ribosomal RNA", at positions 333 to 630 of the family's 1533-position model. The record is from RNAcentral.